Molecule: long non-coding RNA, 2668 nt
Organism: Solanum tuberosum (potato)
Lineage: Eukaryota; Viridiplantae; Streptophyta; Magnoliopsida; Solanales; Solanaceae
Exons: 2
Source: RefSeq, a predicted model, not a curated record
UUAACCUUCUUAUUUCAAGUUAUGAUAUGAUUUUAUUUUUCAUAAUUUCUGCAUGGAAAUAAAUAACCUUAGCAGCGACGAGCAGAUGUCAUUAAAAUACUGUGUGCUCUAUUUGCUCUUGACAUAAAUCAAACUCUAGAAAUGCAUUUAAUAUGUCUUCUUUUCUCUGUCACAACAGUGGGCUUCUUUUCUGUUGUUCCUACAAUGAGCAAAUUACAAUCUCUGCCAAUUUCAAUUCCUUCUUCUUUGAAAAACUGUGAGAAUGUCCACUAAACUAUCAGCAAAUUAAACUUAAAUCGCGUAACUUUGUUCUUAGUCAGGCAUCAGUUUGACUUUGACACAUGUAGAAGAAACUAGAGAGGCAGGAAACACAAGCAUGAGAGAUGUCAUUAAGAGAUAUAUUUUCUGGUUUGUAUCUAAUAGUUCUAUAUAAAUUUAAAAAAAAUGUUUUAGGUAAAUAAUUUGUCAUCCCUCUUUGCAGUUGGAAAAAGUUUAAUGAGGAGGAUUUAGUUUACCUACAAGUGGCUUUUGGUAUGAUAGAUGGUUUGUUCCAGGGGUGGAUUUAGAGGGUGUUCACUUGAGCCCCUCGGCAAAAAUAUUACAGACUAUAUAGGGUAGAUUUUUUGUGUUUAUGUACAUUUAUAAAUUUUGAAUCAUGUGAACAAUAUGCAAAAGGUUAGGUCAGCGGUCCAAGGCAUUCAAAAUGCACCUAACGUCCAAGAUUUGAUUCUUAAGGACUGCAUUAUUUUUUUAGAUUAUUAUUUUUCGAGCCGCCUAACUGAAUACCUGAGCUCUUACUCCUCCUAAUUGGUAAUAUUAGAACCAGAACAUAGCUAAGAUUAAAUAAAGAUGUUUUGGAUGGUUAGUUUUAAUUGCAGCUAGGAUGAAUUCUUAGGUUGUAAUUCUAGCUUGACAAGUUUGCUUGGAAUGUUUGAGUACAUUCAUCGUGAUGUAGGCUCGACAUUAUGAAUAACUCAAAGUGGGUGACUCUAUGAUCUAUUCUUCUUUUUGGUAUUUUUCGACAAUCUCCAUUUGAUUAUUUUUACUAAGGUCUUUGUGAAAGAAAGUAAAUUGAACGAGUGACAGAGGUCAGGCAUACUUUUUCAAAUAAGAUUGAAUCAUUGAAGCAUCUUCAUCACAAUUAUCAAAUCCAAACGUUUUAUAGUUUCUGUUAGGGUGUCAAAUGGGCGGGUUGGACUGAAUUUGGGCGGGUCAAAGUUACUUGGGUUGAAAUGAAUUGGGCUUAAAUGGGGUAAAAACUAGAUCAUAACCCCAUCCAUCCAACUUUUACUAAAUUCUAAAUUCUUUGUUUGAUUUCUUAUAAAUUGUUUAACUACCUAAAUCAAUUUUUUUGUUUUAUUAUGACUAUAUACAUAUCAAAUAAAAAAUUUCAUUCUUAAAACUAUUAGUUAGUUUCUCAUGGGUCAAUUUGGGUUGUGCAUAUCAGCCCAAUUUUUGAAUAGACAGAAUUGGGAGGGUCAAAUGGGUUGAGUUAAUAAAAUAAGCGGGCCAUUAACCCGCCAAAUCAAAGCGGGUUGGGCGGGUCAUUAGCUCGCCAAAUCUAAGCGGGUCAUGAUUUUGUAGGCUGAUUUUGCCACCCCUAGUUUCUCUGAAUUCACGAAGCUUUUUAGAAGUUAGAAGGUUUCCUUUUAAUAAGUCUUCCCAUUCAUGAGAAUAAAUUUUCUUUCCCAGCAGGAUCUAAAGACAAAUGGCUAAUAUUAUUCAAAAGAGGUAUGAACGUGAUUGUGUGAAGAGUUUGAGAUCUAGAGAAGUACUCAUAUAUUUCUUUUUCAACAAUUUGGAUGAAGCUUUUCUCUUAUCCAAGUUCCAAGUUGGAGCAGCUGUGGUGAUCUUUAAGGAACUUGGCAACCAGAAGCAGAGUGAUCACAGCCAAUGGCAGCUUUUCCCUAUUCACAAGUUGAAAUGAUCAAAUGUGUUUUGAGACUGCUGCUGAUUUAGCUAUGUAAUGAUUUACUUGCUAGUUUUCACACAAAUGACGUCACUCUUUGUUGAGCAAGGUGAUGCCAUGAAAACUACAAAAGUGAACUUCAGGAUCCCAGCAGCAUGUAUGUCUACCUUUGACAUCCUUAGUGUAGCACCUGCCAUGUUUCUCAAACACGGAGUUCUUGAUCCACUUAGGUUUAAGAGGAGCAAGUGUGACCACACCGAGCUAACUCAACUUCAAAGCAUGUGAAUUGGACUAGUCACAACAGUGAUGGCUAUGCUUUCUGCAGGAAUUGUGGAGGACUAUAGGCUUACUCAAGCUAUAAAUGACUGCAAAUACAGUGAAGGCUCUAGCUCGGUAAAGUUACCCUUGCUCUUCUUAAACCUAUUGACAAGUGGUCAAGAACUCUGUGUUUGGGAAAUAUGACAAGUGCUACACUAAGGAUGUCAAUGGUAGAUAUACAUGCAGCUGGAAUCCUGAAGUUCGCUAUUGUAGUUUUCAUGGCGUCUCCUUGCUCAACUAAGACUGGUGUCAUUUGUGUAAAAACUACUAAGUAAAUCAUUAUAUAGCUAAAUCUCUAUUAGCUAUGUAAUAGUAGUCUUUUCCGACCAAAAAAUUAUCUAUUAGCAAUGUAAUAAGAGUUUAACCUAUACACCUUCCAUUUUUUUGUAAACAUUAUCAGGUCUAUCAAAGGAUAUCUACGUUGUAAACCUUUUUAAAAAA